Molecule: transfer RNA, 50 nt
Filed under: Hemidactylus fasciatus (banded leaf-toed gecko)
Lineage: Eukaryota; Metazoa; Chordata; Lepidosauria; Squamata; Gekkonidae
Description: partial tRNA-Cys
Source: RNAcentral
GAAACACCAGAGUGCAAAUCUGGAGAAGCACCCAGAAGGUGCCGGGGCUU